AGUGGCGUGCGGGAAAUGUGGCGUGAGGAAGCCGUGGCCGACCGGGGACGUGGAGCCGACGUCCUUGUGAAGGAGGCUCUCAUCCCAUAGAGGGUGUUAGGCCCCCGCAGGCGCCCGUCGCCGGUGGCCUUAAGGCUUCUAAGAGUCGGGUUGUUUUGGAAUGCAGCCCAAAGACGGGUGGUAAACUCCAUCCAAGGCUAAAUACAAGGCACGAGACCGAUAGAUAACAAGUACCAUGAGGGAAAGUUGAAAAGAACUUUGAAGAGAGAGUUCAAUAGGACGUGAAGCUGCCGAGAAGUAAACGGAAAGGCCCCGCACACCGUGGCCGGGAGAUUCAGCGCAAGUGGAGGUUUUGCGGCGCCCCGCUCCGUCUGCGGAUUCCCCUCGGGAACCCUGGCAGAGUGGGUCGAUGCAGCCGCCCGUCGCGCGCAUUUCUCCCGUGCCUCUGGGGUUGGUGACCGAUCGUUGAUCGGCCGAUUGGACGCGGUGAAGGCAGGUAGCUCACCCAGGCUUCGGCCCGGGAGAGAACGUAUAGUCUCGCCGUCCGCAUCGGUCGCAAGGUCGAGGAAAGAUGCCCACGUUCUGCGCCUGCUCGGGUCUUCGGACCGGGGCUGGAGCCGCCGGACUCCCGCUCGUGCGGCGUACGGGGACUGUCCUCAGUGCCCGCUCGCUCGUGCGGUCGAGAAAGGCCGGAUCGCCUCUCAGGCGCACGGGGU
This 716-nucleotide ribosomal RNA is filed under the name Ophionereis schayeri lineage B KMN-2013. RNAcentral describes it as "partial 28S ribosomal RNA". It matches the Rfam family "Eukaryotic large subunit ribosomal RNA", at positions 128 to 630 of the family's 3401-position model. Lineage: Eukaryota; Metazoa; Echinodermata; Ophiuroidea; Amphilepidida; Ophionereidae. The record is from RNAcentral. RNAcentral also lists the same sequence under 1 other name.